GACGAACGCUGGCGGCGCGCCUAACACAUGCAAGUCGAACGAGCGAGAGAGAGCUUGCUUUCUCGAGCGAGUGGCGAACGGGUGAGUAACGCGUGAGGAACCUGCCUCAAAGAGGGGGACAACAGUUGGAAACGACUGCUAAUACCGCAUAAGCCCACGGGUCGGCAUCGACCAGAGGGAAAAGGAGCAAUCCGCUUUGAGAUGGCCUCGCGUCCGAUUAGCUGGUUGGUGAGGUAACGGCCCACCAAGGCAACGAUCGGUAGCCGGACUGAGAGGUUGAACGGCCACAUUGGGACUGAGACACGGCCCAGACUCCUACGGGAGGCAGCAGUGGGGAAUAUUGCACAAUGGGGGAAACCCUGAUGCAGCGACGCCGCGUGGAGGAAGAAGGUCUUCGGAUUGUAAACUCCUGUUGUUGAGGAAGAUAAUGACGGUACUC
This 439-nucleotide ribosomal RNA is filed under the name uncultured bacterium. Its description in RNAcentral is "bacterial SSU rRNA". It matches the Rfam family "Bacterial small subunit ribosomal RNA", at positions 28 to 480 of the family's 1533-position model. The record is from RNAcentral.